RNAcentral lists this long non-coding RNA (318 nucleotides) under Capsicum annuum. RNAcentral describes it as "long non-coding RNA (CANN_LNC016119)". The record is from RNAcentral. Lineage: Eukaryota; Viridiplantae; Streptophyta; Magnoliopsida; Solanales; Solanaceae.
UGUAUUUGCCUACCCAUUUAACGGCCUAAAACAUGAUAGUAUCGAAUUCAACAAUAUUAAUGUCCAUUUCAAAUCAAACAACGAUUCAAUGAAUUAAACUAAUCAAAAUCCGCCAUUUAUAGAUUUUCCAUUCACGUCCCCGUGAUUAACCAAUUUCAAAUUAAAAUCUAUCAAUCAAACCACGAUGAUUAUGAAAACUCAAACACAUUCAAACACAUCACUGAAUCAUAUCAUCAAACACAUUAAGAUAAUAAAAAGAGUGGAGUUGAGAAUAUGAAUUUCAAAAACUAGUUGCUGAUAAUAAUGAGUUUAUGAGAG